This 889-nucleotide long non-coding RNA is filed under the name Cyanistes caeruleus (blue tit). RNAcentral's name for it is "lncRNA (ENSCCEG00000003405.1)". The record is from RNAcentral. Lineage: Eukaryota; Metazoa; Chordata; Aves; Passeriformes; Paridae.
UGUCACCCGUGUCACCCCUCACCCGUGUGUCACCUGUCACCUGUGUGUCACCUGUGUGUCACCUGUGACCUGUGUGUCACCUGUCACCCGUGUCACCUUUCAUCUGUGUCACCCGUGUCACCCCUCACCCAUGUGUCACCUGUGUCACCCGUGUGUCACCCCUGUGUCACCUAUGUCACCUGUCACCCGUGUGUCACCUGUGUCACCCCUGUGUGUCACCCCUGUGUGUCACCCUCCCGUCCCCUGCGUGUCCUCGGUGUCACCCGGCGGUUCCUGAUGUCACCUUUGUGUCCCCUCAGGUGGGAAGUGCAAGUGCCGGAGCAAGGCCAGCCGCCGCCACCCCCCAGCGGAGCUGUCACCCCUGGCAGGGACAGGAGCCACCGGCUCGCGCUGAGCUGUCCCCAAGUGUCCCCAAACGUCCCCGAGAGGUGACAGGGGGGAGGGCACGGGGACCUCGGGGAUGUCCCCAAAUGUCCCCAAGGAGGAGCAGGAAUAAAAAUGGGGCAAAAAAAGGAGAUUUUGGUCAUUGGGGGAGGGGCGGCAGCAGCGGGGGACAGCGGAGGUGACACAGGGACAUCGGGUGAGGGUGGUGGCACCAGGAGGUGACACGGGGACAUCGGGUGAGGGUGGUGGCACCAGGAGGUGACACAGGGACAUCGGGUGAGGGUGGCACCAGGAGGUGACACGGGGACAGGGCUGGGGACAUCGGGGUGAGGGUCACAACAGGAGAUGACACCAGGGCAGAGGUGACAUCAGUGGUGGCCUUGGGGACAUUGGGUGAUGGUGGCACCAGCAGGUGACAUGGGGACAUGGGAGGGGACAUUGGGGUGAUGGUGGCCUUGGGGACAUUGGGGUGAGGGUGGCACCAGGAGGCGACACGGGGACAGGG